RNAcentral lists this transfer RNA (71 nucleotides) under Solirubrobacteraceae bacterium. RNAcentral's name for it is "tRNA-Gln". It matches the Rfam family "tRNA". From Rfam's summary of the family: Transfer RNA (tRNA) molecules are approximately 80 nucleotides in length. Their secondary structure includes four short double-helical elements and three loops (D, anti-codon, and T loops). The record is from RNAcentral. RNAcentral also lists the same sequence under 2 other names. Lineage: Bacteria; Bacillati; Actinomycetota; Thermoleophilia; Solirubrobacterales; Solirubrobacteraceae.
UCCGGGCUCGUCUAAUGGCAAGACAACGGCCUCUGGAGCCGUGAAUCGGGGUUCGAAUCCCUGGCCCGGAU